GACGAACCGUGCGAACGUUGUUCGGAAUCACUGGGCUUAAAGGGCGCGUAGGCGGGCGACCAAGUCGGAGGUGAAAGCCUGCAGCUCAACUGCAGAAGUGCCCCCGAUACUGGCCGCCUCGAGGGAGGUAGGGGCGUGCGGAACUUCCGGUGGAGCGGUGAAAUGCGUAGAUAUCGGAAGGAACACCGGUGGCGAAAGCGGCGCGCUGGACCUCUUCUGACGCUGAGGCGCGAAAGCUAGGGGAGCAAACGGG
Molecule: ribosomal RNA, 253 nt
Filed under: uncultured bacterium
Lineage: Bacteria
Description: partial 16S ribosomal RNA
Rfam family: Bacterial small subunit ribosomal RNA
Source: RNAcentral